ACUCCUACGGGAGGCAGCAGUGGGGAAUUUUGCGCAAUGGGGGCAACCCUGACGCAGCAACGCCGCGUGAGUGAUGAAGGCCUUUGGGUCGUAAAGCUCUGUCAGAGGGAAAGAAAUGCGGGCGGCUAAUAUCCGUUCCGCUUGACGGUACCCUCAAAGGAAGCACCGGCUAACUCCGUGCCAGCAGCCGCGGUAAUACGGAGGGUGCGAGCGUUGUUCGGAAUUAUUGGGCGUAAAGCGCGUGUAGGCGGUUUUGUAAGUCUGAUGUGAAAGCCCUGGGCUCAACCUGGGAAGUGCAUUGGAUACUGCGAGACUUGAGUACGGGAGAGGGCAGUGGAAUUCCUAGUGUAGGAGUGAAAUCCGUAGAUAUUAGGAGGAACACCGGUGGCGAAGGCGGCUGCCUGGACCGAUACUGACGCUGAGACGCGAAAGCGUGGGGAGCAAACAGGAUUAGAUACCCUGGUAGUCCACGCCGUAAACGAUGAGAACUAGGUGUCGCGGGUA
RNAcentral lists this ribosomal RNA (504 nucleotides) under uncultured Geobacter sp. Its description in RNAcentral is "bacterial SSU rRNA". It matches the Rfam family "Bacterial small subunit ribosomal RNA", at positions 335 to 831 of the family's 1533-position model. Lineage: Bacteria; Pseudomonadati; Thermodesulfobacteriota; Desulfuromonadia; Geobacterales; Geobacteraceae. The record is from RNAcentral.